This is a transfer RNA of Cavia porcellus (domestic guinea pig), 72 nucleotides long. It matches the Rfam family "tRNA". Rfam says of the family: Transfer RNA (tRNA) molecules are approximately 80 nucleotides in length. Their secondary structure includes four short double-helical elements and three loops (D, anti-codon, and T loops). Further hydrogen bonds mediate the characteristic L-shaped molecular structure. tRNAs have two regions of fundamental functional importance: the anti-codon, which is responsible for specific mRNA codon recognition, and the 3' end, to which the tRNAs corresponding amino acid is attached (by aminoacyl-tRNA synthetases). tRNAs cope with the degeneracy of the genetic code in two manners: having more than one tRNA (with a specific anti-codon) for a particular amino acid; and 'wobble' base-pairing, i.e. permitting non-standard base-pairing at the 3rd anti-codon position. Lineage: Eukaryota; Metazoa; Chordata; Mammalia; Rodentia; Caviidae. The record is from Rfam.
GAGGAUGUGGCUCGGCGGGGGAGCAAUUGCCUUGUAUGCACAAGAUCCUGGGUUUGAUCCCCAGCACCACCA